UCCUUCCUCCACUAGGUCCUCGCCCGAUGCCUCCCCGCAAAGCAUCCAUGCGACGAUCCAUGGCCUCCACCACCAGAUCUCAGGCUCUGGCCUCACCUCCAGUUUCCCAGCCUCCUCCUCCUCCUCCAGCAAUGACUGAUGGUGCGAAGCAAUUCGACAUGCUGGUGUAGCAGGUCAGAGGCCUCACUGAAGUUGUGCAAGCCAUGCAACAGCAGCAGCAGCCGCAGGCGUCAGUG
This 236-nucleotide long non-coding RNA is filed under the name Elaeis guineensis (African oil palm). Its description in RNAcentral is "long non-coding RNA (EGUI_LNC062658)". The record is from RNAcentral. Lineage: Eukaryota; Viridiplantae; Streptophyta; Magnoliopsida; Arecales; Arecaceae.